RNAcentral lists this transfer RNA (73 nucleotides) under Salmo salar (Atlantic salmon). It matches the Rfam family "tRNA". From Rfam's summary of the family: Transfer RNA (tRNA) molecules are approximately 80 nucleotides in length. Their secondary structure includes four short double-helical elements and three loops (D, anti-codon, and T loops). Further hydrogen bonds mediate the characteristic L-shaped molecular structure. tRNAs have two regions of fundamental functional importance: the anti-codon, which is responsible for specific mRNA codon recognition, and the 3' end, to which the tRNAs corresponding amino acid is attached (by aminoacyl-tRNA synthetases). tRNAs cope with the degeneracy of the genetic code in two manners: having more than one tRNA (with a specific anti-codon) for a particular amino acid; and 'wobble' base-pairing, i.e. permitting non-standard base-pairing at the 3rd anti-codon position. The record is from Rfam by way of RNAcentral. Lineage: Eukaryota; Metazoa; Chordata; Actinopteri; Salmoniformes; Salmonidae.
GACCCUGUGGCUCAGUUGGUAGAGCAUGGUGUUUGCAACGCCAGGGUUGUGGGUUUGAUUCCCACGGGGGGCC